Molecule: transfer RNA, 70 nt
Filed under: Dipodomys ordii (Ord's kangaroo rat)
Lineage: Eukaryota; Metazoa; Chordata; Mammalia; Rodentia; Heteromyidae
Rfam family: tRNA
About the family: Transfer RNA (tRNA) molecules are approximately 80 nucleotides in length. Their secondary structure includes four short double-helical elements and three loops (D, anti-codon, and T loops). Further hydrogen bonds mediate the characteristic L-shaped molecular structure. tRNAs have two regions of fundamental functional importance: the anti-codon, which is responsible for specific mRNA codon recognition, and the 3' end, to which the tRNAs corresponding amino acid is attached (by aminoacyl-tRNA synthetases). tRNAs cope with the degeneracy of the genetic code in two manners: having more than one tRNA (with a specific anti-codon) for a particular amino acid; and 'wobble' base-pairing, i.e. permitting non-standard base-pairing at the 3rd anti-codon position.
Source: Rfam by way of RNAcentral
GGGAAAGUGGCUCAGUGGUAGAGUUCUUGCCUUGCAUGCAUGAAGUCCUGGGUUCGAUUCCUCAGCACCA